RNAcentral lists this small RNA (142 nucleotides) under Acinetobacter tandoii. RNAcentral's name for it is "Manganese sequence". The stretch from base 1 to 127 matches the Rfam family "Manganese Mn2+ riboswitch aptamer (yybP-ykoY)". Rfam says of the family: This RNA was originally discovered in E. coli during a large scale screen and was named SraF. The family was later found to exist upstream of related families of protein genes in many bacteria, including the the yybP and ykoK genes in B. subtilis. Lineage: Bacteria; Pseudomonadati; Pseudomonadota; Gammaproteobacteria; Moraxellales; Moraxellaceae. The record is from RNAcentral.
UUGCGAUUCAUUGGGGAGUAGCCGCUUUUUACGCUAUGUAAAAAGGUGAUGAUCAACAUAAUUGUUCCACAGAACAUGGUCAUCAUAGCAAAGAACCAAAUAAGCUUAUCGAACAGCUUUUUUUGUUGGCAAGACCUUUGAU